CAAAGAGGGGCAAGGGGAUGGAGACAGGGAAAUCAGGGUUAUAGGGGCAGGGGUAACCAAGGAGGAAUAGACAGGAACACUUGUUUCAACUGUGGACAAUAUGGCCACUGGAGGAAUGAGUGUCCACACCCCAGGAAACCCCAGGAAACCCCACACACCCCAACAACCCCACCUUUCUCAAAAUAUGCCCUGUAGGCAAGAACAACACCAGACCCACUCCCAACACCACUGGCCAGCAUAUCGCUUAGUUCAGGACUUUAGAGCCCUGAAUAGUUUAAUUGUGCCCAUUUCACCCAUUGUCCCUGAUGUGACAUCCCUCAUUACAG
Non-coding RNA from Pelobates cultripes (western spadefoot toad), 326 nucleotides. Lineage: Eukaryota; Metazoa; Chordata; Amphibia; Anura; Pelobatidae. The record is from the annotation of a GenBank genome assembly.